Molecule: ribosomal RNA, 468 nt
Filed under: uncultured bacterium
Lineage: Bacteria
Description: partial 16S ribosomal RNA
Rfam family: Bacterial small subunit ribosomal RNA
Source: RNAcentral
GACGAACGCUGGCGGCGUGCUUAACACAUGCAAGUCGAACGGAAAGGCCCUGCUUUCGUGGGAUGCUCGAGUGGCGAACGGGGGAGUAACACGGGAGUAACCUGCCCUUUACUUUGGGAUAACUUCAGGAAACGAGGGCUAAUACCGCAUAUGAUCUCCUUCCGCAUGGUGUGGGUCGGAAAGUUUUGGCGGUUGGGGAGGGAUUCCGUGCUUAUCAGCUUGUUGGUGGGGUAGUGGCGUACCAAGGCUUUGACUGGUAGGCUGCCUGAGAGUGUGUCCGGCCACAUGGGGACUUGGGUAGGGCCAAGACUCCUAUGGGGGGCAGGAGUGGGAAAUAUUGCAAAAUGAGCGGAAGCCUGGUGAAGCAAUGCCGCGUGCGGGAUGAUGGCCAUCGGGUGAUCAGCCGCUUUAGCCUGAGAAGACGCGUGAGUGACGGUAAUGGGUAAAGAAGCACGGGCUAAAUACGUG